This 292-nucleotide ribosomal RNA is filed under the name uncultured bacterium. RNAcentral's name for it is "partial 16S ribosomal RNA". It matches the Rfam family "Bacterial small subunit ribosomal RNA", at positions 505 to 796 of the family's 1533-position model. The record is from RNAcentral.
GUGUCAGCCGCCGCGGUAAGACAGAGGGUGCAAACGUUGUUCGGAAUUACUGGGCGUAAAGCGCAUGUAGGCGGCCAAGCAGGUCGGAUGUGAAAUCCCUCGGCUCAACCAAGGAAGUGCAUUCGAAACCGCAUGGCUCGAGUCCCGGAGAGGAAGGUGGAAUUCUCGGUGUAGAGGUGAAAUUCGUAGAUAUCGAGAGGAACACCGGUGGCGAAAGCGGCCUUCUGGACGAGGACUGACGCUGAGAUGCGAAAGCGUGGGGAGCAAACAGGAUUAGAAACCCCCGUAGUCC